UUAAGCGACUAAGCGUACACGGUGGAUGCCCUGGCAGUCAGAGGCGAUGAAGGACGUGCUAAUCUGCGAUAAGCGUCGGUAAGGUGAUAUGAACCGUUAUAACCGGCGAUUUCCGAAUGGGGAAACCCAGUGUGUUUCGACACACUAUCAUUAACUGAAUCCAUAGGUUAAUGAGGCGAACCGGGGGAACUGAAACAUCUAAGUACCCCGAGGAAAAGAAAUCAACCGAGAUUCCCCCAGUAGCGGCGAGCGAACGGGGAGCAGCCCAGAGCCUGAAUCAGUGUGUGUGUUAGUGGAAGCGUCUGGAAAGGCGCGCGAUACAGGGUGACAGCCCCGUACACAAAAAUGCACAUGCUGUGAGCUCGAUGAGUAGGGCGGGACACGUGGUAUCCUGUCUGAAUAUGGGGGGACCAUCCUCCAAGGCUAAAUACUCCUGACUGACCGAUAGUGAACCAGUACCGUGAGGGAAAGGCGAAAAGAACCCCGGCGAGGGGAGUGAAAAAGAACCUGAAACCGUGUACGUACAAGCAGUGGGAGCACGCUUAGGCGUGUGACUGCGUACCUUUUGUAUAAUGGGUCAGCGACUUAUAUUCUGUAGCAAGGUUAACCGAAUAGGGGAGCCGAAGGGAAACCGAGUCUUAACUGGGCGUUAAGUUGCAGGGUAUAGACCCGAAACCCGGUGAUCUAGCCAUGGGCAGGUUGAAGGUUGGGUAACACUAACUGGAGGACCGAACCGACUAAUGUUGAAAAAUUAGCGGAUGACUUGUGGCUGGGGGUGAAAGGCCAAUCAAACCGGGAGAUAGCUGGUUCUCCCCGAAAGCUAUUUAGGUAGCGCCUCGUGAAUUCAUCUCCGGGGGUAGAGCACUGUUUCGGCAAGGGGGUCAUCCCGACUUACCAACCCGAUGCAAACUGCGAAUACCGGAGAAUGUUAUCACGGGAGACACACGGCGGGUGCUAACGUCCGUCGUGAAGAGGGAAACAACCCAGACCGCCAGCUAAGGUCCCAAAGUCAUGGUUAAGUGGGAAACGAUGUGGGAAGGCCCAGACAGCCAGGAUGUUGGCUUAGAAGCAGCCAUCAUUUAAAGAAAGCGUAAUAGCUCACUGGUCGAGUCGGCCUGCGCGGAAGAUGUAACGGGGCUAAACCAUGCACCGAAGCUGCGGCAGCGACGCUGAUGCGUUGUUGGGUAGGGGAGCGUUCUGUAAGCCUGCGAAGGUGUGCUGUGAGGCAUGCUGGAGGUAUCAGAAGUGCGAAUGCUGACAUAAGUAACGAUAAAGCGGGUGAAAAGCCCGCUCGCCGGAAGACCAAGGGUUCCUGUCCAACGUUAAUCGGGGCAGGGUGAGUCGACCCCUAAGGCGAGGCCGAAAGGCGUAGUCGAUGGGAAACAGGUUAAUAUUCCUGUACUUGGUGUUACUGCGAAGGGGGGACGGAGAAGGCUAUGUUGGCCGGGCGACGGUUGUCCCGGUUUAAGCGUGUAGGCUGGUUUUCCAGGCAAAUCCGGAAAAUCAAGGCUGAGGCGUGAUGACGAGGCACUACGGUGCUGAAGCAACAAAUGCCCUGCUUCCAGGAAAAGCCUCUAAGCAUCAGGUAACAUCAAAUCGUACCCCAAACCGACACAGGUGGUCAGGUAGAGAAUACCAAGGCGCUUGAGAGAACUCGGGUGAAGGAACUAGGCAAAAUGGUGCCGUAACUUCGGGAGAAGGCACGCUGAUAUGUAGGUGAGGUCCCUCGCGGAUGGAGCUGAAAUCAGUCGAAGAUACCAGCUGGCUGCAACUGUUUAUUAAAAACACAGCACUGUGCAAACACGAAAGUGGACGUAUACGGUGUGACGCCUGCCCGGUGCCGGAAGGUUAAUUGAUGGGGUUAGCCGCAAGGCGAAGCUCUUGAUCGAAGCCCCGGUAAACGGCGGCCGUAACUAUAACGGUCCUAAGGUAGCGAAAUUCCUUGUCGGGUAAGUUCCGACCUGCACGAAUGGCGUAAUGAUGGCCAGGCUGUCUCCACCCGAGACUCAGUGAAAUUGAACUCGCUGUGAAGAUGCAGUGUACCCGCGGCAAGACGGAAAGACCCCGUGAACCUUUACUAUAGCUUGACACUGAACAUUGAGCCUUGAUGUGUAGGAUAGGUGGGAGGCUUUGAAGUGUGGACGCCAGUCUGCAUGGAGCCGACCUUGAAAUACCACCCUUUAAUGUUUGAUGUUCUAACGUUGACCCGUAAUCCGGGUUGCGGACAGUGUCUGGUGGGUAGUUUGACUGGGGCGGUCUCCUCCUAAAGAGUAACGGAGGAGCACGAAGGUUGGCUAAUCCUGGUCGGACAUCAGGAGGUUAGUGCAAUGGCAUAAGCCAGCUUGACUGCGAGCGUGACGGCGCGAGCAGGUGCGAAAGCAGGUCAUAGUGAUCCGGUGGUUCUGAAUGGAAGGGCCAUCGCUCAACGGAUAAAAGGUACUCCGGGGAUAACAGGCUGAUACCGCCCAAGAGUUCAUAUCGACGGCGGUGUUUGGCACCUCGAUGUCGGCUCAUCACAUCCUGGGGCUGAAGUAGGUCCCAAGGGUAUGGCUGUUCGCCAUUUAAAGUGGUACGCGAGCUGGGUUUAGAACGUCGUGAGACAGUUCGGUCCCUAUCUGCCGUGGGCGCUGGAGAACUGAGGGGGGCUGCUCCUAGUACGAGAGGACCGGAGUGGACGCAUCACUGGUGUUCGGGUUGUCAUGCCAAUGGCACUGCCCGGUAGCUAAAUGCGGAAGAGAUAAGUGCUGAAAGCAUCUAAGCACGAAACUUGCCCCGAGAUGAGUUCUCCCUGACUCCUUGAGAGUCCUGAAGGAACGUUGAAGACGACGACGUUGAUAGGCCGGGUGUGUAAGCGCAGCGAUGCGUUGAGCUAACCGGUACUAAUGAACCGUGAGGCUUAACCUU
This 2904-nucleotide ribosomal RNA is filed under the name Shigella sonnei 1DT-1. Its description in RNAcentral is "bacterial LSU rRNA". It matches the Rfam family "Bacterial large subunit ribosomal RNA". Lineage: Bacteria; Pseudomonadati; Pseudomonadota; Gammaproteobacteria; Enterobacterales; Enterobacteriaceae. The record is from RNAcentral.